ACUCAGGUGUGGUGGUGCGCACCUGUGGUCCUAGCUACUUGGGAGGUUGAGGCAGGAGGAUUGCUUGAGCCCACGACUUGGAGGUUGCAGUGAGCUAUGAUUAUGGAUCUUGCCACUGCACUCCAGCUUGGGCAACAGAGCAAGACCCUGUCUCUA
This is an unclassified non-coding RNA of Callithrix jacchus (white-tufted-ear marmoset), 156 nucleotides long. It matches the Rfam family "Metazoan signal recognition particle RNA". From Rfam's summary of the family: The signal recognition particle (SRP) is a universally conserved ribonucleoprotein. It is involved in the co-translational targeting of proteins to membranes. The eukaryotic SRP consists of a 300-nucleotide 7S RNA and six proteins: SRPs 72, 68, 54, 19, 14, and 9. The record is from Ensembl. Lineage: Eukaryota; Metazoa; Chordata; Mammalia; Primates; Cebidae.